RNAcentral lists this ribosomal RNA (499 nucleotides) under uncultured bacterium. Its description in RNAcentral is "partial 16S ribosomal RNA". It matches the Rfam family "Bacterial small subunit ribosomal RNA", at positions 30 to 523 of the family's 1533-position model. The record is from RNAcentral.
AUUGAACGCUGGCGGCAUGCCUUACACAUGCAAGUCGAACGGUAACGCGGGGGCAACCCUGGCGACGAGUGGCGAACGGGUGAGUAAUACAUCGGAACAUAUCCAGUAGCGGGGGAUAACCUAUCGAAAGAUUGGCUAAUACCGCAUACGAUCUACGGAUGAAAGCGGGGACCGCAAGGCCUCGCACUAUUGGAGUGGCCGAUGUCAGAUUAGCUAGUUGGUGGGGUAAAAGCCUACCAAGGCGACGAUCUGUAGCUGGUCUGAGAGGACGAUCAGCCACACUGGAACUGAGACAUGGUCCAGACUCCUACGGGAGGCAGCAGUGGGGAAUUUUGGACAAUGGGCGCAAGCCUGAUCCAGCCAUGCCGCGUGAGUGAAGAAGGCCUUCGGGUUGUAAAGCUCUUUCGGUGAAGACGAAACGGUUAGCGCUAAUAACGCUGACUAAUGACGGUACCCACAGAAGAAGCACCGGCUAACUACGUGCCAGCCGCCGCAGUAA